UAGUCAUAUGCUUGUCUCAAAGAUUAAGCCAUGCAUGUCUAAGUAUAAACAAAUUAUACUGUGAAACUGCGAAUGGCUCAUUAAAUCAGUUAUAGUUUAUUUGAUGAUUGCUUACUACAUGGAUAACUGUGGUAAUUCUAGAGCUAAUACAUGCAUUAAAGCCCUGACUUUUGUGGGAGGGGUGUAUUUAUUAGAUUUGAAACCAAUUUUUUUGGUGAUUCAUAAUAACUGCUCGAAUCGCAUGCCCUUGUGGCGGCGAUGCUUCAUUCAAAUAU
This 275-nucleotide ribosomal RNA is filed under the name uncultured eukaryote. RNAcentral describes it as "partial 18S ribosomal RNA". It matches the Rfam family "Eukaryotic small subunit ribosomal RNA", at positions 21 to 306 of the family's 1831-position model. The record is from RNAcentral.